RNAcentral lists this ribosomal RNA (784 nucleotides) under Corynebacterium casei. RNAcentral describes it as "bacterial SSU rRNA". It matches the Rfam family "Bacterial small subunit ribosomal RNA", at positions 1 to 793 of the family's 1533-position model. The record is from RNAcentral. Lineage: Bacteria; Bacillati; Actinomycetota; Actinomycetes; Mycobacteriales; Corynebacteriaceae.
UUUGUGGAGAGUUUGAUCCUGGCUCAGGAUGAACGCUGGCGGCGUGCUUAACACAUGCAAGUCGAACGGAAAGGCCUCAGCUUGCUGGGGUACUCGAGUGGCGAACGGGUGAGUAACACGUGGGUGAUCUGCCCUGCACUUUGGGAUAAGCUUGGGAAACUGGGUCUAAUACCGAAUAUGACCACUUCUUGGAUGUUGUGGUGGAAAGCUUUUGCGGUGUGGGAUGAGCCUGCGGCCUAUCAGCUUGUUGGUGGGGUAAUGGCCUACCAAGGCGGCGACGGGUAUCCGGCCUGAGAGGGUGUACGGACACAUUGGGACUGAGAUACGGCCCAGACUCCUACGGGAGGCAGCAGUGGGGAAUAUUGCACAAUGGGCGCAAGCCUGAUGCAGCGACGCCGCGUGGGGGAUGAAGGCCUUCGGGUUGUAAACUCCUUUCGCUAUCGACGAAGCCACUUGUGGUGACGGUAGGUAGAUAAGAAGCACCGGCUAACUACGUGCCAGCAGCCGCGGUAAUACGUAGGGUGCAAGCGUUGUCCGGAAUUACUGGGCGUAAAGAGCUCGUAGGUGGUUUGUCGCGUCGUCUGUGAAAUCCCGGGGCUUAACUUCGGGCGUGCAGGCGAUACGGGCAUAACUUGAGUGCUGUAGGGGAGACUGGAAUUCCUGGUGUAGCGGUGAAAUGCGCAGAUAUCAGGAGGAACACCGAUGGCGAAGGCAGGUCUCUGGGCAGUAACUGACGCUGAGGAGCGAAAGCAUGGGUAGCGAACAGGAUUAGAUACCCUGGUAG